This 442-nucleotide ribosomal RNA is filed under the name uncultured bacterium. RNAcentral describes it as "partial 16S ribosomal RNA". It matches the Rfam family "Bacterial small subunit ribosomal RNA", at positions 338 to 795 of the family's 1533-position model. The record is from RNAcentral.
CCUACGGGUGGCAGCAGUGGGGGAUAUUGCACAAUGGGGGAAACCCUGAUGCAGCGACGCCGCGUGGGCGAAGAAGUAUUUCGGUAUGUAAAGCCCUAUCAGCCGGGAAGAAGAAAUGACGAUACCUGAGUAAGAAGCACCGUCUAAAUACGUGCCAGCAGCCGCGGUAAUACGUAUGGUGCAAGCGUUAUCCCGAUUUACUGGGCGUAAAGUGAGCGCAGGCGGCACGGCAAGCCUGAUGUGAAAGCCCGGGGCCCAACCGCGGGAAAGCAUUGGGAACUACCGGGCUGGAGUGCCGGAGAGGUAGGCGGAAUUCAUAGUGUAGAGGUGAAAUGCGUAGAUAUUAGGAGGAACACCAGUGGCGAAGGCGGCCUACUGGACGGUGACUGACGCUGAGGCACGAAAGCGUGGGGAGCAAACAGGAUUAGAUACCCCAGUAGUC